AGGCCCCUUCGGGGGUACUCGAGCGGCGAACGGGUGAGUAACACGUGAGCAACCUGCCCCUGACUCUGGGAUAAGCCCGGGAAACUGGGUCUAAUACCGGAUACGACCAGCCCCUGCAUGGGGUGCUGGUGGAAAGUUUUUCGGUUGGGGAUGGGCUCGCGGCCUAUCAGCUUGUUGGUGGGGUGAUGGCCUACCAAGGCGACGACGGGUAACCGGCCUGAGAGGGCGACCGGUCACACUGGGACUGAGACACGGCCCAGACUCCUACGGGAGGCAGCAGUGGGGAAUAUUGCGCAAUGGGCGGAAGCCUGACGCAGCGACGCCGCGUGAGGGAUGACGGCCUUCGGGUUGUAAACCUCUUUCAGCAGGGACGAAGCUAACGUGACGGUACCUGCAGAAGAAGCGCCGGCUAACUACGUGCCAGCAGCCGCGGUAAUACGUAGGGCGCAAGCGUUGUCCGGAAUUAUUGGGCGUAAAGAGCUCGUAGGCGGUUUGUCGCGUCUGUCGUGAAAGCCCACGGCUUAACCGUGGGUCUGCGGUGGAUACGGGCAGACUAGAGGCAGGUAGGGGAGAAUGGAAUUCCCGGUGUAGCGGUGAAAUG
RNAcentral lists this ribosomal RNA (601 nucleotides) under Actinomadura sp. YIM M 11143. RNAcentral describes it as "bacterial SSU rRNA". It matches the Rfam family "Bacterial small subunit ribosomal RNA", at positions 72 to 688 of the family's 1533-position model. Lineage: Bacteria; Bacillati; Actinomycetota; Actinomycetes; Streptosporangiales; Thermomonosporaceae. The record is from RNAcentral.